RNAcentral lists this non-coding RNA (22 nucleotides) under Arabidopsis thaliana (thale cress). Lineage: Eukaryota; Viridiplantae; Streptophyta; Magnoliopsida; Brassicales; Brassicaceae. The record is from RNAcentral.
UUGGUUUCUUGUGUUUAUUUGC